This 254-nucleotide ribosomal RNA is filed under the name uncultured bacterium. Its description in RNAcentral is "partial 16S ribosomal RNA". It matches the Rfam family "Bacterial small subunit ribosomal RNA", at positions 524 to 776 of the family's 1533-position model. The record is from RNAcentral.
UACGGAGGGUGCGAGCGUUGUCCGGAAUCAUUGGGCGUAAAGGGCGCGUAGGUGGCCCGGUCAGUUCGUGGUGAAAGCGCGGGGCUCAACCCUGCGUCGGCCAUGAAUACUGCCGCGGCUGGAGCACUGUAGAGGCAGGCGGAAUUCCGGGUGUAGCGGUGGAAUGCGUAGAGAUGUGGAGGAACACCAGUGGCGAAGGCGGCUCUCUGGUCUGUAACUGACGCUGAGGCGCGAAAGCGUGGGGAGCGAACAGG